This 263-nucleotide ribosomal RNA is filed under the name uncultured bacterium. Its description in RNAcentral is "partial 16S ribosomal RNA". It matches the Rfam family "Bacterial small subunit ribosomal RNA", at positions 524 to 787 of the family's 1533-position model. The record is from RNAcentral.
UACGUAGGGGCGAGCAUUGUCCGGAUUUACUGGGCGUAAAGAGCGCGUAGGCGGAGACUUAAGUGUGGCCUGAAAGCCCCCGGCUCAACCGGGGAGGGUGGCUGCAAACUGGGUUUCUAGAGAUUGGUAGAGGAUGGCGGAAUUCCAGGUGUAGCGGUGAAAUGCGUAGAUAUCUGGAGGAACACCUGUGGCGAAGGCGGCUAUCUGGUCCAAUUCUGACGCUGAGGCGCGAAAGGUAGGGGAGCAAACAGGAUUAGAUACCC